RNAcentral lists this ribosomal RNA (497 nucleotides) under uncultured bacterium. RNAcentral's name for it is "bacterial SSU rRNA". It matches the Rfam family "Bacterial small subunit ribosomal RNA", at positions 21 to 507 of the family's 1533-position model. The record is from RNAcentral.
GGCUCAGGAUGAACGCUAGCUACAGGCUUAACACAUGCAAGUCGAGGGGAAACGAUAUUGGAAGCUUGCUUCCGAUAGGCGUCGACCGGCGCACGGGUGAGUAACGCGUAUCCAACCUGCCCAUCACUUGGGGAUAACCUUGCGAAAGUAAGACUAAUACCCAAUGACGUCUCUAGAAGACAUCUGAAGGAGAUUAAAGAUUUAUCGGUGAUGGAUGGGGAUGCGUCUGAUUAGCUUGUUGGCGGGGUAACGGCCCACCAAGGCGACGAUCAGUAGGGGUUCUGAGAGGAAGGUCCCCCACAUUGGAACUGAGACACGGUCCAAACUCCUACGGGAGGCAGCAGUGAGGAAUAUUGGUCAAUGGGCGAGAGCCUGAACCAGCCAAGUAGCGUGCAGGAUGACGGCCCUAUGGGUUGUAAACUGCUUUAUAAGGGAAUAAAGUGGGAGUCGUGACUCUUUUGCAUGUACCUUAUGAAUAAGGACCGGCUAAUUCCGUG